Long non-coding RNA from Salvia miltiorrhiza (redroot sage), 306 nucleotides. RefSeq lists it as uncharacterized. The record is from RefSeq and is a predicted model, not a curated record. NCBI's taxonomy places the organism in Eukaryota, Viridiplantae, Streptophyta, Magnoliopsida, Lamiales, Lamiaceae. The transcript is spliced from 3 exons.
UGAGGUAAGCCCUGACUUAAAUCUCCUCCACCUGCUUCCAUGAUUCCACCUUCAUUUGUUAAGAAAAACAAUGCAUAAUUCUAUUUCAGUUUGUCUCCACGAGAAUCAAUAGCAACACAGCAGCCACCCAACAGUUUGAACAUAUCCAAGGUCAAGCACGAGAUUAAUAAUCAAUCAAGGAGCUACUGUACCGCAAGAGUUGCUGUCAGGUUGAGCAGUGGCUGAUGAAGAUGAAGUGAAGAGCGGAGCUUUUGUCAAAAGUUAAAUGAAUGAACUCUUGGAUACAUGUCUUCAUACAUGUAAUCA